UAGUGCAGGGAAUGUACAAUUGCCUACUGGAAGCUUUGCUCAGAUCAGUCAUACUGGGAAUUACCCAUUGUCAAGAGGUGAUCUUCUUAGAGAUGUCCUAUGUGUGCCAUUUUUUAGAUUCAACCUUAUGUCUGUUUCCAAGGUGACCAAGGACCUAAAUUAUUCUGUUACAUUUUACCCUAAACACUGUGUAUUUCAGGAUCUUUGCACUAGAAAAGCGAAGGUGAUUGGUAGAGAGAAGGAUGGAUUAUACAUACUGAAUGCACACAACAGUGGUGAUUUCAUAAAUAAGGGGAAGUCCAUGACAGUAACUAGACCAUCUCACCCUAAUCUUUGGCAUAG
Molecule: long non-coding RNA, 342 nt
Filed under: Solanum tuberosum (potato)
Lineage: Eukaryota; Viridiplantae; Streptophyta; Magnoliopsida; Solanales; Solanaceae
Description: long non-coding RNA (STUB_LNC004065)
Source: RNAcentral